This 253-nucleotide ribosomal RNA is filed under the name uncultured bacterium. Its description in RNAcentral is "partial 16S ribosomal RNA". It matches the Rfam family "Bacterial small subunit ribosomal RNA", at positions 524 to 776 of the family's 1533-position model. The record is from RNAcentral.
UACGAAGGGUGCGAGCGUUAUUCGGAAUAACUGGGCGUAAAGGGUGCGUAGGCGGUAUUUUAAGUCGACGGUUAAAGACUACAGCUUAACUGUAGAAAGGCCGGCGAUACUGGAGUGCUUGAGGAUAGCAGAGAGGAGUGGAAUUCUCGGAGUAGCGGUAAAAUGCGUAGAUCUCGAGAGGAACACCGAUGGCGAAGGCAGCUCCUUGGGCUAUAUCUGACGCUGAGGCACGAAAGCGUGGGGAGCAAACAGG